RNAcentral lists this transfer RNA (76 nucleotides) under Congrogadus subducens (carpet eel blenny). RNAcentral's name for it is "tRNA-Lys". The record is from RNAcentral. Lineage: Eukaryota; Metazoa; Chordata; Actinopteri; Pseudochromidae.
CGCUGGUGAAGCUAAAAUGGGAAUAAGCGUUAGCCUUUUAAGCUAAAAUUUGGUAACCCCCAACUACCCGCAGCGA